UUAAGCGACUAAGCGUACACGGUGGAUGCCCUGGCAGUCAGAGGCGAUGAAGGACGUGCUAAUCUGCGAUAAGCGUCGGUGAGGUGAUAUGAACCGUUAUAACCGGCGAUUUCCGAAUGGGGAAACCCAGUGUGUUUCGACACACUAUCAUUAACUGAAUCCAUAGGUUAAUGAGGCGAACCGGGGGAACUGAAACAUCUAAGUACCCCGAGGAAAAGAAAUCAACCGAGAUUCCCCCAGUAGCGGCGAGCGAACGGGGAGGAGCCCAGAGCCUGAAUCAGUGUGUGUGUUAGUGGAAGCGUCUGGAAAGGCGCGCGAUACAGGGUGACAGCCCCGUACACAAAAAUGCACAUAUUGUGAGCUCGAUGAGUAGGGCGGGACACGUGGUAUCCUGUCUGAAUAUGGGGGGACCAUCCUCCAAGGCUAAAUACUCCUGACUGACCGAUAGUGAACCAGUACCGUGAGGGAAAGGCGAAAAGAACCCCGGCGAGGGGAGUGAAAAAGAACCUGAAACCGUGUACGUACAAGCAGUGGGAGCCUCUUAAUGGGGUGACUGCGUACCUUUUGUAUAAUGGGUCAGCGACUUAUAUUCUGUAGCAAGGUUAACCGAAUAGGGGAGCCGAAGGGAAACCGAGUCUUAACUGGGCGUUAAGUUGCAGGGUAUAGACCCGAAACCCGGUGAUCUAGCCAUGGGCAGGUUGAAGGUUGGGUAACACUAACUGGAGGACCGAACCGACUAAUGUUGAAAAAUUAGCGGAUGACUUGUGGCUGGGGGUGAAAGGCCAAUCAAACCGGGAGAUAGCUGGUUCUCCCCGAAAGCUAUUUAGGUAGCGCCUCGUGAAUUCAUCUCCGGGGGUAGAGCACUGUUUCGGCAAGGGGGUCAUCCCGACUUACCAACCCGAUGCAAACUGCGAAUACCGGAGAAUGUUAUCACGGGAGACACACGGCGGGUGCUAACGUCCGUCGUGAAGAGGGAAACAACCCAGACCGCCAGCUAAGGUCCCAAAGUCAUGGUUAAGUGGGAAACGAUGUGGGAAGGCCCAGACAGCCAGGAUGUUGGCUUAGAAGCAGCCAUCAUUUAAAGAAAGCGUAAUAGCUCACUGGUCGAGUCGGCCUGCGCGGAAGAUGUAACGGGGCUAAACCAUGCACCGAAGCUGCGGCAGCGACACUAUGUGUUGUUGGGUAGGGGAGCGUUCUGUAAGCCUGUGAAGGUGGCCUGUGAGGGUUGCUGGAGGUAUCAGAAGUGCGAAUGCUGACAUAAGUAACGAUAAAGCGGGUGAAAAGCCCGCUCGCCGGAAGACCAAGGGUUCCUGUCCAACGUUAAUCGGGGCAGGGUGAGUCGACUCCUAAGGCGAGGCCGAAAGGCGUAGUCGAUGGGAAACAGGUUAAUAUUCCUGUACUUGGUGUUACUGCGAAGGGGGGACGGAGAAGGCUAUGUUGGCCGGGCGACGGUUGUCCCGGUUUAAGCGUGUAGGCUGGUUUUCCAGGCAAAUCCGGAAAACCAAGGCUGAGGCGUGAUGACGAGGCACUACGGUGCUGAAGUGACAAAUGCCCUGCUUCCAGGAAAAGCCUCUAAGCAUCAGGUAACAUCAAAUCGUACCCCAAACCGACACAGGUGGUCAGGUAGAGAAUACCAAGGCGCUUGAGAGAACUCGGGUGAAGGAACUAGGCAAAAUGGUGCCGUAACUUCGGGAGAAGGCACGCUGAUAUGUAGGUGAAGCGACUUGCUCGUGGAGCUGAAAUCAGUCGAAGAUACCAGCUGGCUGCAACUGUUUAUUAAAAACACAGCACUGUGCAAACACGAAAGUGGACGUAUACGGUGUGACGCCUGCCCGGUGCCGGAAGGUUAAUUGAUGGGGUUAGCGGUAACGCGAAGCUCUUGAUCGAAGCCCCGGUAAACGGCGGCCGUAACUAUAACGGUCCUAAGGUAGCGAAAUUCCUUGUCGGGUAAGUUCCGACCUGCACGAAUGGCGUAAUGAUGGCCAGGCUGUCUCCACCCGAGACUCAGUGAAAUUGAACUCGCUGUGAAGAUGCAGUGUACCCGCGGCAAGACGGAAAGACCCCGUGAACCUUUACUAUAGCUUGACACUGAACAUUGAGCCUUGAUGUGUAGGAUAGGUGGGAGGCUUUGAAGUGUGGACGCCAGUCUGCAUGGAGCCGACCUUGAAAUACCACCCUUUAAUGUUUGAUGUUCUAACGUUGGCCCGUAAUCCGGGUUGCGGACAGUGUCUGGUGGGUAGUUUGACUGGGGCGGUCUCCUCCUAAAGAGUAACGGAGGAGCACGAAGGUUGGCUAAUCCUGGUCGGACAUCAGGAGGUUAGUGCAAUGGCAUAAGCCAGCUUGACUGCGAGCGUGACGGCGCGAGCAGGUGCGAAAGCAGGUCAUAGUGAUCCGGUGGUUCUGAAUGGAAGGGCCAUCGCUCAACGGAUAAAAGGUACUCCGGGGAUAACAGGCUGAUACCGCCCAAGAGUUCAUAUCGACGGCGGUGUUUGGCACCUCGAUGUCGGCUCAUCACAUCCUGGGGCUGAAGUAGGUCCCAAGGGUAUGGCUGUUCGCCAUUUAAAGUGGUACGCGAGCUGGGUUUAGAACGUCGUGAGACAGUUCGGUCCCUAUCUGCCGUGGGCGCUGGAGAACUGAGGGGGGCUGCUCCUAGUACGAGAGGACCGGAGUGGACGCAUCACUGGUGUUCGGGUUGUCAUGCCAAUGGCACUGCCCGGUAGCUAAAUGCGGAAGAGAUAAGUGCUGAAAGCAUCUAAGCACGAAACUUGCCCCGAGAUGAGUUCUCCCUGAGACUUAGAGUCUCCUGAAGGAACGUUGAAGACGACGACGUUGAUAGGCCGGGUGUGUAAGCGCAGCGAUGCGUUGAGCUAACCGGUACUAAUGAACCGUGAGGCUUAACCUU
This 2902-nucleotide ribosomal RNA is filed under the name Escherichia coli. RNAcentral's name for it is "bacterial LSU rRNA". It matches the Rfam family "Bacterial large subunit ribosomal RNA". The record is from RNAcentral. Lineage: Bacteria; Pseudomonadati; Pseudomonadota; Gammaproteobacteria; Enterobacterales; Enterobacteriaceae.